CAGGCUGNAACCCGCCUGCAUGAAGUCGGAAUUGCUAGUAAUCGCGGAUCAGCAUGCCGCGGUGAAUACGUUCCCGGGCCUUGUACACACCGCCCGUCACACCAUGGGAGCCGGUAAUACCCGAAGUCGGUAGUCUAACCGCAAGGAGGACGCCGCCGAAGGUGGGGUUGAUGAUUAGGGUUAAGUCGUAACAAGGUAUC
Molecule: ribosomal RNA, 200 nt
Filed under: uncultured bacterium
Lineage: Bacteria
Description: partial 16S ribosomal RNA
Rfam family: Bacterial small subunit ribosomal RNA
Source: RNAcentral